GUCCGCGGCCGGCGCGCUCCCCGGUCCUCCCUCGCUCAUCUCCUAUGCUCAUAUUUGGACUCGGCUGCCCGUGCCCAGGAAUUUCCCGUCAUGCCUCCCGCCGCCCCGUCCGUCGCCCGGAGCCGGGGAGGGAGGAGGAGGCUCGGACAGCGGCGGCGGCUCCCUGGCCUUUCGAUGAGCGCGCGGUGGACCCUCCCGCGCCCCCUCUCGCUCUGCCUCUGCCUUUGCCUGGCCGCGGUCGCGGCGCGGGCAACCGCGCAGUCUG
RNAcentral lists this long non-coding RNA (265 nucleotides) under Marmota monax (woodchuck). The record is from RNAcentral. Lineage: Eukaryota; Metazoa; Chordata; Mammalia; Rodentia; Sciuridae.